CUUGACGGAACCGAGCCACAACGGCCGCUCCGCGUCCCGCCCCUGGCCGUACGUCGCGAGCAGGGCCUGCGCCUC
RNAcentral lists this antisense RNA (75 nucleotides) under Streptomyces sp. 150FB. Its description in RNAcentral is "ASpks TB sRNA". It matches the Rfam family "ASpks TB sRNA". The record is from Rfam by way of RNAcentral. Lineage: Bacteria; Bacillati; Actinomycetota; Actinomycetes; Kitasatosporales; Streptomycetaceae.